Asparagus officinalis (garden asparagus) is the source of this 1284-nucleotide RNA transcript. It is a transcript of the gene named NADH dehydrogenase [ubiquinone] 1 alpha subcomplex assembly factor 3, with no coding region annotated. The transcript has 8 exons. NCBI's taxonomy places the organism in Eukaryota, Viridiplantae, Streptophyta, Magnoliopsida, Asparagales, Asparagaceae. The record is from RefSeq and is a predicted model, not a curated record.
CCCGGCUCCUGCUUCUGUUCACAGUUGGAUUCGGGUCGGAUCCCACAGGAUCCGUUACGGAUCCUUCAAGCUCCAUUUUGUUCAGUAGGAAAGGAAGGAGGGAGAGAGAGAGAGAGAGAGAGAGAGAGAGCGCAAUGGUGGGAGGCGGUGGAAGACAGAGGGCAGCUUCUUCGCUGCUCCCUCACCUCGUGAAGACCCUUCGAAAGGAAUCCCCGAGACCCCCUUUCAAUCAUCAAACCCUACCUUCUCUCAGGCGCACCUUUUCUCUCUACGAUCAGAUCAAUCUCAUCGACAGCGUCCCAGAGGAUCAGCUCCGUUUCCAAGGGUACACUGACACAGGAUUUACAGUUAAUGGCGUGAAGUAUGAAGGAAGCUUACUUAUUGUAGAGAACAAGCUCAUGACAUGGGCUCCCAAACGAUUCUCAGAGAUAACAGCCGAGAGCCUAUCAAUCUUCCAAGUUCUGCGGCCUAUUCCUGAAAUUUUGAUUAUUGGCUGUGGGAAGAAUAUUGAGCUAAUAAGUCCCGAACUUCGCCGCUUUAUUCGCUCUACAGGCAUGAAACUGGAAGCAGUCGACUCGAGAAAUGCAGCAUCUACAUACAACAUCUUAAAUGAAGAAGGGAGAAUGGUAGCAGCGGCGCUUCUCCCGUAUGGAGUUUCAUCAUGAUCCUCGUCUACAGAAUUUCUAAAGAUGAACCGAACAACUGCAAGUGCAAUUACAAGCAGCAACAGUUGUAUGCAAGUCAAAGCUGCAGUGUUAACUGUAGUUGCGAACUAUCCUACUGCCCCUAAAACCAAUAUGCUUGGAACAAGAAACAAGGUUGAAAUUGUAGUGUGCUUGUAAAUGCCGAUGGAACUUGAUCAAAACUACUAUUUAAUAUAGAGGCAAACAGGCUAAGCUAAGGUUAACCAAGAGUUGUAGAAUUGAAGGAGGCUUCUUUGUCGGAUGGAUGGAAACUUAGCUGCUUUUUUGCAUGUAUAGCCAGAAUUCAUCGAUGUUCUAUCCUUGAGUGACAGAAGAGUAUGAAAUAAUCCUGGCUCAAGAACUUACAAAGAAACCUUGUUCAGCUUUGCAAAGUGUUCCUCACUGCUCUUCCUAUGUUUAAUGUAAGACAUGUAAGAUUAAUUGUCUUUGUUGGUGGAAGCGAGAUGAUGAAUUGAGAGCUGGGCUACAAAUUGGAUUUGGUGAAUUCUAAUUGCGAUGUUGUACUGUGUAAUGCACACGAUACUUUGUUGUUAUUUAGAUUUAUAAGCUCAACGCUUUGGCACAGUGACCUUCUUAUUUA